This 373-nucleotide long non-coding RNA is filed under the name Daucus carota (carrot). RNAcentral describes it as "long non-coding RNA (DCAR_LNC005043)". Lineage: Eukaryota; Viridiplantae; Streptophyta; Magnoliopsida; Apiales; Apiaceae. The record is from RNAcentral.
AGGGACUGGGAAUUACGAACUCCCAUUGCACCACCGGUGACCCCCUUUAAGGGUGGCUAAGGUGAUUUUCUUGCAGGUACUCAGCAUUUUGGAAGCUCAGUAUUUGUGUGGAGGGAUACACUUACAGAACUCGUGAGUGACACCCUUACCCAAAAACCGAGAGAAAAUUGAGUGUUGAGUGAUACACCUGCAGAACAUUUUAGUGAGACACCCACUAAUUACCAAAUUUAUACCUAAAGACAAAGUGGAUGUUGUUACUGGAAUGUCAGUUCUUAUUCCUUACUUUUCCGUUUGGAACCUAUUCUUUCAGCAUAGGCACCAACCCAAUCAAAGUAAACCCUUCUUCUGAACUCUUUCUUCGACCCCAGCUUUA